AGCAGUGCGGAAGGACAGAGGGAGAAGCAGGCUCCCGGCUGAGCAGGGAACCCAACACAGGACUGGAUCCCAGGACCCUGGGAUGGUGAUCCGAGCUGAAGGCAGACGCUUCACUGACCAAGCCCCCCAGCACCCCGACAGGUGUAUCUUCUCAACAAUUUGGAAGGCCAGCCUCGAUACUUACACAAGGCUGCUCAGCAACGAGCAGUUUGUGGACGGGCUGUAGCUAGGGGCCAGCCACACCUCGAGGAGCUCUAGAAGGAGUCAGCGUAGGCUCUAGAAAGCAGAGGCCUCUGCCGCUGUGUUGUCUACGGGAGGAGACCUCCCCUCCGUAGGCGCGGACUACGGGGCGGUGCCGGCGGGGGCUCUAGAUCAACCCCUUCUUGCCGAUGUUAAGAUAAAAAGAGAUGAAUGUAAAUGUCAUGCUAAUUUCUGUUAUUUUAAACAAAUAAAAACCCAAAAUAUAUGUUUUUUGAAA
Lutra lutra (Eurasian river otter) is the source of this 478-nucleotide long non-coding RNA. RefSeq lists it as uncharacterized. The transcript is spliced from 2 exons. NCBI's taxonomy places the organism in Eukaryota, Metazoa, Chordata, Mammalia, Carnivora, Mustelidae. The record is from RefSeq and is a predicted model, not a curated record.